Non-coding RNA from Pelobates cultripes (western spadefoot toad), 322 nucleotides. The record is from the annotation of a GenBank genome assembly. NCBI's taxonomy places the organism in Eukaryota, Metazoa, Chordata, Amphibia, Anura, Pelobatidae.
AGUUUAGGUCCCUGGUAUACCUUUAGCAUAUUUGGGGUUUGCUAAAAAAACAAAUCUUGUAGGAUCUGCUACUAAUGCCUUGGUGUCAGAUACCACAGGACACAUUCAGAGGUCUCGUGGAGUCCAUGCCUCGACGCAUUAGAGCUGUUUUGGCAGCAGAAGGGGGACCUACACGAUAUUAGACAGGUUUUUUUACGUUGUGGUUAACCAGUGUUUAUGUAUGUGUGUAUAUAUAUAAAUUAGUUAUUGCGAGUAACAGAAAAAGGAUUUAUAAAAAACUUAAAGCAGUAUUAAGCAGCACUCCGGACCCUUAAAGGGGAAC